This 481-nucleotide ribosomal RNA is filed under the name Latilactobacillus curvatus. RNAcentral describes it as "bacterial SSU rRNA". It matches the Rfam family "Bacterial small subunit ribosomal RNA", at positions 46 to 488 of the family's 1533-position model. The record is from RNAcentral. Lineage: Bacteria; Bacillati; Bacillota; Bacilli; Lactobacillales; Lactobacillaceae.
UCCUAAUACAUGCAAGUCGAACGCACUCUCGUUAGAUUGAAGAAGCUUGCUUCUGAUUGAUAACAUUUGAGUGAGUGGCGGACGGGUGAGUAACACGUGGGUAACCUGCCCUAAAGUGGGGGAUAACAUUUGGAAACAGAUGCUAAUACCGCAUAAAACCUAGCACCGCAUGGUGCAAGGUUGAAAGAUGGUUUCGGCUAUCACUUUAGGAUGGACCCGCGGUGCAUUAGUUAGUUGGUGAGGUAAAGGCUCACCAAGACCGUGAUGCAUAGCCGACCUGAGAGGGUAAUCGGCCACACUGGGACUGAGACACGGCCCAGACUCCUACGGGAGGCAGCAGUAGGGAAUCUUCCACAAUGGACGAAAGUCUGAUGGAGCAACGCCGCGUGAGUGAAGAAGGUUUUCGGAUCGUAAAACUCUGUUGUUGGAGAAGAACGUAUUUGAUAGUAACUGAUCAGGUAGUGACGGUAUCCAACCAGAU